Molecule: ribosomal RNA, 166 nt
Filed under: uncultured bacterium
Lineage: Bacteria
Description: partial 16S rRNA
Rfam family: Bacterial small subunit ribosomal RNA
Source: RNAcentral
UAGGGAAGUCUUCGGCAAUGGGGGCGAACCCUGACCGAGCAACGCCGCGUGAGUGAAGAAGGUUUUCGGAUCGUAAAGCUCUGUUGUAAGAGAAGAACGUGUGUGAGAGUGGAAAGUUCACACAGUGACGGUAACUUACCAGAAAGGGACGGCUAACUACGUGCCA